UACGUAGGGAGCAAGCGUUGUCCGGAAUCAUUGGGCGUAAAGCGUGCGCAGGCGGCUAUCUACGUCCGGGGUGAAAGCCCAGAGCUCAACUCUGGGAUUGCCUUGGAUACGGGAUGGCUUGAGGAUCGGAGAGGCAAGGGGAAUUCCACGUGUAGCGGUGAAAUGCGUAGAGAUGUGGAGGAACACCUGUGGCGAAGGCGCCUUGCUGGCCGAUUUCUGACGCUGAGGCGCGAAAGCGUGGGGAGCAAACAGG
This 253-nucleotide ribosomal RNA is filed under the name uncultured bacterium. Its description in RNAcentral is "partial 16S ribosomal RNA". It matches the Rfam family "Bacterial small subunit ribosomal RNA", at positions 524 to 776 of the family's 1533-position model. The record is from RNAcentral.